Cinara cedri is the source of this 232-nucleotide non-coding RNA. NCBI's taxonomy places the organism in Eukaryota, Metazoa, Arthropoda, Insecta, Hemiptera, Aphididae. The record is from the annotation of a GenBank genome assembly.
ACACUUUUUCCUAUCGUCUUAAUUGUACCGACCUUUUAUAAAUUUACAAAUAAACGCUUGUUUAAAUAUCUGGUGUCUUUAUGUACUUUUAAUAAAAUUAAAUGUUUUAAUGUAAUAAGGUAAUUGUUUUUAAUUUUUAAUCUUAGAAAAAAAGUGCUAGUAUACCUAUCCGAUACUGUUUUAAAUCUAAUUAAAGAAAAAACAAUUUUAAUUCAAUUUUCAAAUACUAAGC